RNAcentral lists this small RNA (102 nucleotides) under Brenneria goodwinii. Its description in RNAcentral is "t44 RNA". It matches the Rfam family "t44 RNA". From Rfam's summary of the family: This family consists of a number of bacterial RNA genes of between 135 and 170 bases in length. The t44 gene is found between the map and rpsB genes in all species in the full alignment apart from Shigella flexneri. Lineage: Bacteria; Pseudomonadati; Pseudomonadota; Gammaproteobacteria; Enterobacterales; Pectobacteriaceae. The record is from Rfam by way of RNAcentral.
CUCACUUUGUGUAUAUAACACACACGUGUCGGCACAUUCGCCGGGGUGCUCCAACGGUUUUUACCUGCGGGGUCGGCGCAAUGGGACACGUGGAGGCAUAAC